This is a long non-coding RNA of Equus quagga, 1662 nucleotides long. RefSeq lists it as uncharacterized. Lineage: Eukaryota; Metazoa; Chordata; Mammalia; Perissodactyla; Equidae. The record is from RefSeq and is a predicted model, not a curated record. The transcript has 2 exons.
CAAGUGCAUUGUAUGAUACAUUGCCACAUAUCUGGUGGUGUCACUGAGAGGGAAACCGCCCUGAUCUCCGUGGGCAGAGCUGGGUGGCAGCAAGCCUGCUGUCCUCUCGUGAGGCCGGGUAGCUGUCAGCGGCCCUGGAUCCCCUCACCCGUAGGUUAGGUGGUGGGAUAGUUAGUGCUGCCUCAUGAACUGCCCAGAAACUAUGACAGCAAACAUUGGUUGCCUCGCUGUGGCUGUGGCUAGGGCUGGCCUGACUCGGACGUUCAGGCUGGCGUUCUCGUGGGGCUGGGGCAUCUGAAGGCUUGGCCAGGGCAGGAAGAGCUGCUUCCGAGAUGGUGCACUCUGGCUGCUGGCAGGAGGCCGAGGGUCCUCCAGGGUGGCAGCUGGCUUCCCCCAGUGAGUGAAAGGCAGCCGGGGCAGGAGUGUGAUCAGUCCUGCUUGGUUCUAGGGUCACACUGACCAGCCCUGGUGCGCAUGGUGUGGGAGGUGGACGCGGGGAGGGGCAGGAGCUGCCCAGGCGGCGGUGCUUGUGGCAGCACUAGCAGAGUGGGGUGUGCUGUCUUUAUGCUUGGUCCCUAAUCCACCUCCUGCAGGGGUGCAGCUCUUACGAGGAUGAUCCCCUUGAACGGGUGGCUGCUCUGGCUGCACAAGACUGAGCAGCCGCUCGAGUUUCCCCCUCCCCUCUGUGGUGCACUUGAGUCUCCUGUGGCUUAUGCACAAGGUGACGCGUGGGCCUGGGGUGACGAUGGAAUUGCGGGAGUAAGUGGGCUUGAUCACGAGGGAGGACGACGAGGGGCUGGUGGACACAUCCCACCUGCUUUGAGCCCAGCAUCUGGCUCGGUGUUGGGAGGGCUAGAGUCGGGGAUGCAGGCUGGGCUCGGGCUGGGGCUGUCAGCCCUCCAGGUUGGUAGCUAGGAGCUUGUUUCAGACACAAGGUUGCUACAAGGGGUUAUGUUUUCAUAGCAUUGAGGAUUUGUUUUCAGUCUUUGAACCUGCACGAGGCCGUGUCUGUUUGUUUUUGACAGGAAACUGGGUGGCCAGUAGAAUGUUCAGAAGGGGAGCUGGGCUUGGCACGUGUGGGGAGAAGACGGAGGUGGCUCCAGCAGCCGUGUCAUCGCAUUCCAGAAACCUCCGUGCUUUGCUGUCCUGAGGUCUCCAAGCUGAGGAAGAAGCCUUGACCGUUGACCAGGUGGGGGGUGUUAUCCAGCCCCAGAGGCGCGGCCUAGUGGGUCAUCUCAGAGAUUUUCUGUCUCUGUGCAGGUGGGCGUCCUCAGUCCUCCAGGAGAGCACAUCGAGGGCAGAGAGCCAGGAGGGGAGGGAGGUUCCCCCGGCUCACGACACAGCAGAGAAGAUGUGACUUAUCACGCUGCUGUCUCAGCACUUUGCUGCCAGGGCGCGUCUAAGAGAGCUGGGGAAAUCACAGCUGUGAAGCGUCCUCUGAUGGGAAGGACUCGUCCGAUUAGCUGGGCCUGGACAUGAGAAAGCUGUGUGUUCUGGGUGGCGCCUCACCCCCCCCCCCCCCCCCCCCCCCCGGGGGGCGGGGGCUCAGGCUCCUGGGCUUCUGCUGGGGAGGGGCCGGACAAAGAAAAUGAGAUGCUGGGCUCUUCCUCAGAUCAUGCAUUUUACCUCUAGUGGUUCAUUAAAAUCCGUUUAAAAAAGUAA